CAUAGCUCAGUCGUUAGAGUACCAGACUGGGGAUCUGUCGAUUGCUGGUUCAAUUUCCAGCAAGU
This is a non-coding RNA of Trichonephila clavata, 65 nucleotides long. The record is from the annotation of a GenBank genome assembly. NCBI's taxonomy places the organism in Eukaryota, Metazoa, Arthropoda, Arachnida, Araneae, Nephilidae.